GAUUUGGAAAUGGUGUUUCAUUGCCUAAGUGCGGAGACAUGUUAAAAUCAUGCCUCUCAAGAUUGAAGUUUUCUUUUACAAAAUGGAAGGAUGUGACAUGUUCUGGACAUCUGGCUGCUAGCCUGGGAUUUUUUUUAAAGAAGGAGUGUACCUUACUGAAUCAAAAGAUGGCUGCUGCAGAUCACAUGAUUCACAAGUUGGCUACAGUUUCUGGAAAUUUCCAACAGCAGUUACAGGACAAAAGUUCAACCCUCAUCCUUGUGGAAUCUUACACAUUGUGAGGACACAUUACAAUCAAUGAAACCAAGGACCAGCAGACAACUUGUCUACCCAGUAUGGACCAAAACAAAGGGAGAGCCAUUGAAACUCAUUAUGGCUGCAGAGGGGCUAAAAGCUGCCAUCUAUCUCCUAAGGUGAACAAUGGAUCUGACCAGAGGCAUGGAAACUGCUUGUUAAUCUGUAACCGACUCAUUAAUGGGCAACAUCACAUGACCUAUGUUUCUGGCCUUUGGAAAGUUUUAAUACUACAUUUCUAGACUCCCAAUCCAGUCUGCUGUUUAAACUAUAGCCUGAAAACGUCAGAGCAGGACUCAAGGCUGACCAACAGCCUGCAUCGAGUCUAAGUCCUCAAAGCCUAUUUUCUCUAAAAGAUUCAUGCCAUUGUCUGCCGAGCAGACCAAGUCUCUGUAUACCAACCUCAUCUCACCCCUUCAACUUCAGCUUUAAAGGAAUUCUGCAAGCUCCUCCUUCAGCCAGCUGAACCUUUCUGAACUGUAGCUCCUGUAUGAAGGAACCUUCAUUGGACUCUGGCUUUCUGGACUCUAACAAUCAGGUGAACUGAUUUCCAUAUCUGUGGUGCAUUUUCUUUUAAGUUAUUCAUUAUUGUAAACACUCCUCUUCCCUAUCUUCUUAUUGAGUGCUUGUAUGUAUAUGAAGUUGUGACUAUUCCCAGGGUUUGAAUGUGUGAAUAAACUAUACAGGUACUGGACCCCUUGUUCAGGAAGCUCAGGACCAGAUGUGUGCUGGAUUUGGGGAUUUUAUGGAUUUUCAGUCCUUGUCCUAGCAUUUACUUAUCACACGUAAAAUAAAGUAUGAAAAAUAAAGAAUGAAAGGGUUUUAUUCAAAUUGCUACCCUGGACACCAGUUUCAAAUGUAGACAAUUUUUGUGUCCUUCUAGAUUUUGGGAUGUCAGUUCCAAUGCCUGUCCUUCAGGUUUAACCAUAAAGAGAGUUUGCUGCAAGUCACUUUAAAAAUUGACCUCACAAAUGGAGAAUUUGGGGAAACAUGCCACAGCCUAUUUCAAAAAAGUAUAAACCUCUGCUUAUGGACAGACAGUGGAAGAUAAAGGAGCUCAAUUUUGCCUCUCUCCCCUGUCAGCAACAAAUGCCACAUCAAAGCUACUGCACUGUAGUCUGUGUACCAAAUCAACAUUGUGGCAUUUUUACACAUACAUGGAUAUAUGUGUUCAAUCUUUACUUUGGAAAUGUCACCAAAUUAUAUCUGUUGUUUUAAUGAUUAUUGCAAAUAUCUAGUUCUAGGUUCAUGUGUUUUCGUAUAUAAUUUACAGUUUUAGGAAUUAAAGUUUAACUAUAGAAAAUGGGAUAAAUGCAAUUAAAGUAGCUAGGAAUCUAUUACACUUAAAAGGUUGGGGCCAAGUUGAUUUGAGAGGUUAACAGAUAGAAAGGUGAGAUCAUAAAAUAGCAGCUGGGCUUACUUAGCUGGAGAGCAGGAGCUAUAAUGUCUACACCGCAUGCAAAGAAGUGCAGUCCAGAGAGAUUGUUUUGUUUUAGGAAUUAGAACUAAAUUAGUUUAAAAGCAUUCAGUGCAUCUUGAAAAGUUAUAAAACCAUUUACUUCAUCAGGUCAAAAAAAAGCAAUUGUAAAUGAGGGAUCAGUUAAAGAUCAUUUUGAGCACAGCCACAGAACGCUACAUCAUCAUGAGAUGGGUAGAGCCCUGGAAAGCUGUCUGUUUUCAAUUUACCUUUUUUUUUGCUGACAGAGUUAGUUGCACUUUAGACCUGGUGUGGUUUGCAGCUCACUGAAAGAAGUUAUCCAAAAUAAAUGGCAAUUAGACAGACCUGCACUGUAAGCAGAGUAAAACACUAACUGCAUUAUUGACUGCUUGGAAGGUGGGCGAUGCGUAAUCUCAGUUUGAAACUUGUAGGGGAACAGAUGCUUUAGGAAUGCCUAGUUUAAAGCUAGUGGGAGAAUCUACAGUAAGGCCUUACCAGCACAUUAGCUUGGAAGUAUUGGAAAAGUAAUCAGAACGAGGGACUAAGGCCUUCACAGUCAAGAGAGAGUAAAUUAAAGUUUACCUCUGAGAAUAGCUGGAGCUGGGGAAAAUUCUCCAGAGGACUGUGACAUACUUAUGGAUGAUCCCUACAGAACAAAAUAAUUUUUGAGAUUGAUGUAUCUUAUAAGAGAAUUCUUGGCAGAAGUAAGAAAAAAACCUAAGUACAUAACAUGUAUAUUAUGUGCUAUAGUGUUAACUUACUCAUAUUUCCUUUGUAUAAUUUAUUCUUUCUACAAUAAAGUAUGCAUUUUUUAAAUAAAACAA
Carcharodon carcharias (great white shark) is the source of this 2556-nucleotide long non-coding RNA. RefSeq lists it as uncharacterized. NCBI's taxonomy places the organism in Eukaryota, Metazoa, Chordata, Chondrichthyes, Lamniformes, Lamnidae. The record is from RefSeq and is a predicted model, not a curated record. The transcript is spliced from 2 exons.